Non-coding RNA from Vicia faba (fava bean), 299 nucleotides. NCBI's taxonomy places the organism in Eukaryota, Viridiplantae, Streptophyta, Magnoliopsida, Fabales, Fabaceae. The record is from the annotation of a GenBank genome assembly.
AUGAAUUCAAGACUCCAUAGUCCAUAUCACGACAUGAUUCCAAAUGAAAGUUCUGAAAGUAGGUAUCAUGGUUCGAGUUUCAUAGCAUACAAAUUUUGAGAUUCUUAAGAACCAAUUCAGGCAUUACAAGGCAUUCAAGUUCCAUGUUGAUUUCAAGAUACAAACAUAUUCAACAAUUUAAAAAAAAAAUCAAAUCAAGAUUCAAUUUACAUGUUCAUUCAAGAGGUAUCCAAUAUUCCAUUUCCCCCCAAAAUUACAAUCAAAAUUCAUUCAAAUUGAAGUCAAUGUCCAAUGUUUGA